This is a non-coding RNA of Potamilus streckersoni, 79 nucleotides long. The record is from the annotation of a GenBank genome assembly. Lineage: Eukaryota; Metazoa; Mollusca; Bivalvia; Unionida; Unionidae.
GCUCCGGUUGCACAGUGGUUAGAGCGUCCGCCUCUGAUGCGGGAGAUCAUGGGGGGGGGGUCGAUUCCCGGUCGAGUCA